RNAcentral lists this ribosomal RNA (253 nucleotides) under uncultured bacterium. RNAcentral describes it as "partial 16S ribosomal RNA". It matches the Rfam family "Bacterial small subunit ribosomal RNA", at positions 524 to 776 of the family's 1533-position model. The record is from RNAcentral.
UACGGAGGGUGCGAGCGUUGUCCGGAAUCACUGGGCGUAAAGGGCGCGUAGGCGGCGCGAGCAGUCGAUCGUGAAAGUCCGGAGCUCAACUCCGGAUCGGCGGUCGAUACUCUCGUGCUUGAGCACUGUAGAGGCAGAUGGAAUUCCGGGUGUAGCGGUGGAAUGCGUAGAGAUCCGGAAGAACACCGGUGGCGAAGGCGGCCUGCUGGGCAGUUGCUGACACUGAGGCGCGACAGCGUGGGGAGCAAACAGG